AUGCUCCUAUGUUGUGUUAAGUGUUGGCAGAUAUCUGGACCCCGCCCUAGCGGUCCGGAACUUGAACCCCGGAACUUCCCCCUCCCCAUAAGAAGUCCGGGGUUUUUUUUGCCCGCGA
Molecule: small RNA, 118 nt
Filed under: Pseudomonas arsenicoxydans
Lineage: Bacteria; Pseudomonadati; Pseudomonadota; Gammaproteobacteria; Pseudomonadales; Pseudomonadaceae
Description: Pseudomon-1 RNA
Rfam family: Pseudomon-1/ErsA RNA
About the family: Functions to regulate the AlgC enzyme. Based on this information, the new name ErsA for the RNA was adopted.
Source: RNAcentral